RNAcentral lists this ribosomal RNA (253 nucleotides) under uncultured bacterium. Its description in RNAcentral is "partial 16S ribosomal RNA". It matches the Rfam family "Bacterial small subunit ribosomal RNA", at positions 524 to 776 of the family's 1533-position model. The record is from RNAcentral.
UACGUAGGUGGCAAGCGUUGUCCGGAUUUACUGGGCGUAAAGAGCGCGCAGGCGGUCGUUCAAGUCGCGUGUGAAAGCCCCCGGCUCAACUGGGGAGGGUCACGCGAUACUGAUCGACUCGAAGGCAGGAGAGGGUAGUGGAAUUCCCGGUGUAGUGGUGAAAUGCGUAGAUAUCGGGAGGAACACCAGUGGCGAAGGCGACUUCCUGGCCUGUUCUUGACGCUGAGGAGCGAAAGCGUGGGGAGCAAACAGG